UAAGGCAGAUGACAAUGUGUUAUGCCACAAG
Molecule: non-coding RNA, 31 nt
Filed under: Homo sapiens (human)
Lineage: Eukaryota; Metazoa; Chordata; Mammalia; Primates; Hominidae
Source: RNAcentral